CGCUGGCGGCGUGCCUAACACAUGCAAGUCGAGCGUGUUGAUUCUCUUCGGAUAUGAACCUAGCGGCGGACGGGUGAGUAACACGUGGGCAACCUGCCUCAUAGAGGGGAAUACCCUCCCGAAAGGGAGAUUAAUACCGCAUAACAUUGUAGCUUCGCGUGACGUAGCAAUUAAAGGAGUAAUCCGCUAUGAGAUGGGCCCGCGGCGCAUUACCUAGUUGGGGAGGUAACGGCUCACCAUGGCGACGAUGCGUAGCCGACCUGAGAGGAUGAUCGGCCACCUUGGGACUGAAACACGGCCCAGACUCCUACCGGAGGCAACAGUGGGGAAUAUUGCACAGUGGGGGAAACCCUGAUGCAACAACGCCGCGUGAGUGAUGACAGCCUUCGGCUUGUAAAGCUCUGUCUUCUUGGACGAUAAUGACGGUACCUGAGGAGGAAUGCCACGGCUAACUACGUGCCAUCAGCCAUCGGUAAUACUUAGGUGGCGAGCGUUGUCCGGAUUUACUGAUCGUAAAGGGAGCGUAAGCGGACUUUUAAGUGAGAUGUGAAAUACCCGGGCUCAACUUGGGUGCUGCAUUUCCAACUGGAACUCUAGAGUGCAGGAGAGGAUAAUGGACUUCCUAGUGUAACAGCUAAAUGCGUAGAGAUUAGAAGGAACACCAGUGGCGAAGGCGAUUCUCUGGACUGUAAACUGACGCUGAGGCUUGAAAGCGUGGGGAGCAAACAGGAUUAGAUACCCUGGUAGUUCACGCCGUAAACGAUGAAUACUAGGUGUAGGGGUUGUCAUGACCUCUGUGCCGCCGCUAACGCAUUAAGUAUUCCGCCUGGGGAGUACGGUCGCAAGAUUAAAACUCAAAGGAAUUGACGGGGGCCCGCACAAGCAGCGGAGCAUGUGGUUUAAUUCGAAGCAACGCGAAGAACCUUACCUAGACUUGACAUCUCCUGAAUUACCCGUAACUGGGGAAGCCACUUCGGAGGCAGGGAGGCAGGUGGUGCAUGGUUGUCGUCAGCUCGUGUCGUGAGAUGUUGGGUUAAGUCCCGCAACGAGCGCAACCCUUAUUGUUAGUUGCUACCAUUUAGUUGAGCACUCUAGCGAGACUGCCCGGGUUAACCGGGAGGAAGGUGGGGAUGACGUCAAAUCAUCAUGCCCCUUAUGUCUAGGGCUACUCACGUGCUACAAUGGCAAGUACAAAGAGAAGCAAGACCGUGAGGUGGAGCAAAACUCAAAAACUUGUCUCAGUUCGGAUUGUAGGCUGAAACUCGCCUACAUGAAGCUGGAGUUGCUAGUAAUCGCGAAUCAGCAUGUCGCGGUGAAUACGUUCCCGGGCCUUGUACACACCGCCCGUCACACCAUGAGAGUUGGCAAUACCCAACGUAAAAGAUCUAACCCGCAAGGGAGGAAGCGUCCU
This 1411-nucleotide ribosomal RNA is filed under the name uncultured organism. RNAcentral describes it as "16S ribosomal RNA". It matches the Rfam family "Bacterial small subunit ribosomal RNA". The record is from RNAcentral.